AAACACGAGUGUUACACUCUCCAGGAAAUCUUGACCCUUAAAUCUCACCGUAGUCAAUUUAUUGAACUACGGUAACUUAGCUCAUGGAUCACUUCCAAUUCUUGUCAAAUGUUGGAUCGUGUUAUCCACCAACCAAUGAUAGUGUUGGGAUUAAAACCCUAAUUGAGAUUUGAUGAACAAGAUGCGGAAAAUAAGAACAAUCACAAAUAUGAAGAUUAUGUCGAAUGAUCACUCGAUUCAUUCAAACAAGAGGAAUAAAUUACACUUAAAGCAUAGACUAAAGAAUCUAACACUACAUAAGAAACCUCACGUGGCGGCUACAUUUUGCCUCACUCUUAACCCUAAUUGUGAAUAAUACAUGACUAUUUAUAGGGAAAAGACAAGUCUUGGGCUUUUAACCUAGAAUUCAUCAAAGGGGCCCAUUGCCAUCAUCCAUGGAGUGCUUUGAAACCCUACAAUCUCCCCCUCAAAGUAUGGAAUGGAUGACAAUGCUUUAACUUCCAAAACAAGCAUCUAGCAAAUAAAAAGAUCUGCAACGAGGAAUAUAUGAAGCAAUCCACGAAUCUCGAUUCUUCAAUAGUCUUUCAACACGGGCUCUAGGAUAUAUAAAGCAAGCACUGAAGUAAUGUAUUUAAACUUCAUUUUCGAAUGUAAUCCCAAAGAAAAUCUUCAUGAAAACCAAACCCGCCAUAAAAAUCCAUUUCAGAACAAAGAAACCGAAUCACUUCUUGUCUUUGAAGAGCUCCCCCUCCAAGUCACAAUGAUCUUCAAAUAAGCUAAUGAUAUAAGCCAUCAAAAAAUGUCAUGUAACAACCCAAACUUUAAGAUUCGUAAUGCCACUUGAUCGAGAAAAUACUAGAAGUCGGAGAUAUAACAAGUCCUUAGCAGAGCUCGAUAAAGAACUUCCGCUGUAAAGGAUACUUCUCUGUAAAAGCUUUAGUAGAGCUCGAUGAAGAACUUCCGCUGUAAAAGCUACAUUCAUAAUUCUACCACAAGCUUUAUCAAAAAUCUUCAACUUUGAAAAGUCACAAAUCCAAUUUCGAAUGACGAUACCAAAUUCUUCCCCGAUUUAUAAUCAAAAAAUGAUUAUAAAGCCUUCAAAUGGUCUUGAAUGGAUAAAAAUUUACUAAGCUCCCCCACGAAAAAAUGAUAUACACAAUAAAGUAUAAAAUCCAAAAAAGUCGUGAAAAUUUGUCGUUAUCACGAUAAACGACUUUCCGAACCGCCAAGACUUGAUGGAAUCAUUAUUUUUCUGUUCACGGAAAAAAUAUGUGCGUUAAAGAAUUCAAAACUGUUCACCAGCCCUUAAAAUUGCAAACUUUUCGAAAAAUGGGCUGAAAUUAUCACUUGCUGAAAAACAGGGGCUGGAAUGGUAAUUCUGUAUGAAUAUACCCCUUUAUUUGUAACAAUUUCUGGAAUUGGUCCAAAACUGCCAAGGCAUGAAAAGUAUAGGGACCAGACGUCAAAUUGUUGAAGUUGCAGGGACCAAGUGGGAAACUUUGAGUUAUCUUCUUCCCCACAACGACUGAUAAAAGAAGAAACGAUACCACACGAUUUGAUCAUUCGGUCCGAGCACAAGCAACCGAAACCAUAUUCGGUCCAAGACUAUUUAUACAAAAACCAUGUUCGGUCUGAAAUCCAACAUCAUGACAAGUGAAACCUCAGCCAAACCGAAUCACAGGUUCGCUUUCGGUUCAUCUCCUCUUUCGGUCCAAGCAUAAGCACGCGAGCCCAAGAUCGAGGUUCGUUCCAAGAGCUACCAACCGAACUUAAGUUCGUUCAUGGUACAUUCCAAGGCCAUUGAUACAAAAGCGAAAUCAAGCAUCACGAUGCGGACAAGGAAUGAAACCUUAGCCAAGCCGACCCACAUGUUCGCUUUCCCCUCUUUCGUUCUAAGGUAACAGAUGAACCCAUUCAUAGAUUUGCUUACGAAUCAAACGAACGUGGGAGAAGAAUGACUGCUUAUGUGAACCUAGAAAUCAAUUUCACAUCCGAACAGUUGUAGGUAUGAUGUUCGUUCCAAAUCACAAACAUAAAACCCAAGUUCGUUCCAAGUCCAUCGAUUAUACCCCUAAAGCGGACGUUCAUGGGAAGAACUUUCAAGGCAAUUAUGACUUUUCUGUUGACCAUUGUGCAUACCAAUUGAGAUCGCUUCAUUCUUCAUUCGUUCACAUGUAAGAAUUUUUCAUAGCAAUUUUGACUUUUGAGGUAUGACCUGCAAAUGGCGAACACCCCAAAAUAAUCCCAGUUAAGUUUCAAUCAUGAUUUAAUUCUUUCCAAGCAACACACUUGCAGCAUCGAUCCAAUUUCAUCAUUCAUUUUGACUAUUUGGUUUGACUAAAUGAAAACCAAUUCUGUUCAUCGUUCUUCAUUCCUUUUCUAUCAAUUCUUCUUGAUCCGAUUGUAUCUUUGACAAGCAUUUACGAACCGAUACACAAACCAUUCCGAUUGAGUUUCAAUUGCGAUUGCGAAACCCAGCAUCUGUUCUCGACUUCUAACAAACAUUGGUACAAACAACAACCCUAAAUCAUUGAUUCGCCAAAUCAUCUCUAAUAUUCACCGAAUGAUAUAAUCAAGAAGCAAAUUUGAUAUUUGAUGAAUGAAUCUACUGAAUUAGAUCGAACACAAAAUUAUACAAAAUCAAAAUCGAUCUUGAUAAAGGCCUCGUUUAUGAAUAUCGACUCAAGAACGGAAGGACAAUGGAUUUGAAGGAACGAUAAUCACAAAUUUGAGAUUAGUCAAUUGCAAUAUGCGAUUCCAAAGAUCAGGAUGUAUGGGCGAAACCAACAAAUAGUCAAUAAAAACGAUAAGCUUAAUAGUUGGAAUCAAAGAAUAGUAAACGAUAAAAGAUGGGCCCAAUAACAGCAUAUUAUCGGCUGAAUGAAAUAAAAACAAAACCAAUCGGGACACUAUCGACGGAAUAAAUGAUUUUCAGAUCCAAAUCUAAAGGGGUGAAUAUGAUGAACAGGAACACGAUUAUUUGGGCUAAAACAUGGAUCUAUAGAAAAUAAUUAAAUCAAAAGACUUUGAUCUUAAAACAAAUCAGAUCCAAAGAACAGAAAAACGAACCGGAUUGAUACAACACCAGAUGAACACUAGAAGAACAACAUCAAUCUCCAUGAACAGUAACUUGAACAGAAAUCUUGAUUCUAUACUGCCAAAACACCAAUAAUCUUCAAUAUGUGUGCAGAAAAUCAUCAAAUCAAAAACCGAUACUUCAAAGAUCAAUAGAUCUUCAAAGACCUGCUCUGAUACCACUUGUUGGGAUUAAAACCCUAAUUGAGAUUUGAAGAACAAGAUGCGGAAAAUAAGAACAAACACAAAUAUGAAGAUUAUGUCGAAUGAUCACUUGAUUCAUUCAAACAAGAGGAAUAAAUUACACUUAAAUCAUAGACUAAAGAAUCUAACACUACAUAAGAAACCUCACGUGGCGGCUACAUUUUGCCUCACUCUUAACCCUAUUUGUGAAUAAUACAUGACUAUUUAUAGGGAAAAGACAAGUCUUGGGCUUUUAACCU
This 3518-nucleotide long non-coding RNA is filed under the name Lactuca sativa (garden lettuce). Its description in RNAcentral is "long non-coding RNA (LSAT_LNC008383)". Lineage: Eukaryota; Viridiplantae; Streptophyta; Magnoliopsida; Asterales; Asteraceae. The record is from RNAcentral.